This 461-nucleotide long non-coding RNA is filed under the name Delphinapterus leucas (beluga whale). RNAcentral describes it as "lncRNA (ENSDLEG00000004802.1)". Lineage: Eukaryota; Metazoa; Chordata; Mammalia; Artiodactyla; Monodontidae. The record is from RNAcentral.
GCACGCCGGGAGGAGCUGCAGGAUAACCAGAUCCAAAAACUUGAACUUGAACUUGAACACGUGACUCAGGAACGUCAGAGCCUGAGACUGGCACAGUCACAGCUGAGAGAGGCCCUCGAAGAGAGUCGGGACCAGUGCCAAAGGAACCUUGAGAAAUUGCCUGGGCUAGAUUGAGCCUUCGAGGCUAAGGAGUCAGACCCAUCUGCUGGCAGGAGGGCUGGGCUGCCGGAGGUCUCCGUGCCCGCUGGGCUGCUCAACAUUCAGCCGCCGUCACGGCAGGAGAUGCCGCACUUAAGCGGGCUGCUGCGACGUGAGCUGGCGCCCCUUUUGUGACUUAGACGGGGACCCCCGUGAAACACACCUGGAUGAAAGUGUGGAAAAGGGAAGUAAGAGCUUCCAGGGCGCCUAGGGACCCUCUGGGUGUGUGGAGGUGAGGUGCACACAGAGCCACGGGGAGGGAG